Molecule: non-coding RNA, 69 nt
Organism: Podarcis lilfordi (Lilford's wall lizard)
Lineage: Eukaryota; Metazoa; Chordata; Lepidosauria; Squamata; Lacertidae
Source: the annotation of a GenBank genome assembly
GCUGUAGCUCACUGGUAGAGCAUCUGCUUCACAUGCAGAAGGUCUCAGGUUCAAUCCCCAGCGUCUCCA